AAGACUUUAAGUUAAAUAAACUAAAAACCUUCAAAGUUUUCAAUAGACACAUCUAAGUCUUG
This 62-nucleotide transfer RNA is filed under the name Amynthas carnosus. RNAcentral describes it as "tRNA-Trp". The record is from RNAcentral. Lineage: Eukaryota; Metazoa; Annelida; Clitellata; Crassiclitellata; Megascolecidae.